This 490-nucleotide ribosomal RNA is filed under the name uncultured bacterium. Its description in RNAcentral is "partial 16S ribosomal RNA". It matches the Rfam family "Bacterial small subunit ribosomal RNA", at positions 28 to 507 of the family's 1533-position model. The record is from RNAcentral.
GAUGAACGCUAGCGAUAGGCUUAACACAUGCCAGUCGAGGGGCAGCAUGGUCUUAGCUUGCUAAGACUGAUGGCGACCGGCGCACGGGUGCGUAACGCGUAUGCAACUUGCCUCACAGAGGGGGAUAACCCGUCGAAAGACGGACUAAUACCGCGUACACUCCAUCUUGGGCAUCCAAGGUAGAGGAAAUGAAAUUCGCUGUGAGAUAGGCAUGCGUCCCAUUAGCUAGUUGGUGAGGUAACGGCUCACCAAGGCGACGAUGGGUAGGGGAACUGAGAGGUUGAACCCCCACACUGGUACUGAGACACGGACCAGACUCCUACGGGAGGCAGCAGUGAGGAAUAUUGGUCAAUGGGCGAGAGCCUGAACCAGCCAAGUCGCGUGAAGGAUGACUGUCUUAUGGAUGGUAAACUUCUUUUAUACGGGAAUAACAAGAGUCACGUGUGACUCCCUGCAUGUACCGUAUGAAUAAGCAGCGGCUAACUCCGUG